GACGAACGCUGGCGGCGUGCCUAAUACAUGCAAGUCGAACGCUUCUUUUCCCACCGGAGCUUGCUCCACUGGGAAAAGAGGAGUGGCGAACAGGUGAGUAACACGUGGGUAACCUGCCCAUCAGAAGGGGAUAACACUUGGAAACAGGUGCUAAUACCGUAUAACAAUCGAAACCGCAUGGUUUCGUUUGGAAAGGCGCUUUACGGUGCCGCUGAUGGAUGGACCCGCGGUGCAUUAGCUAGUUGGGGAGGUAACGGCUCACAAAGGCCACGAUGCAUAGCCGACCUGAGAGGGUGAUCGGCCACAUUGGGACUAAGACACGGCCCAAACGCCUACGGGAGGCAGCAGUAGGGAAUCUUCGGCAAUGGACGAAAGUCUGACCGAGCAACGCCGCGUGAGUGAAGAAGGUUUUCGGAUCGUAAAACUCUGUUGUUAGAGAAGAACAAGGGUGAGAGUAACUGUUCACCCCUUGACGGUAUCUAACCAGAAAGCCACGGCUAACUACGUGCCAGCAGCCGCCGUAA
This 524-nucleotide ribosomal RNA is filed under the name uncultured bacterium. Its description in RNAcentral is "partial 16S ribosomal RNA". It matches the Rfam family "Bacterial small subunit ribosomal RNA", at positions 28 to 523 of the family's 1533-position model. The record is from RNAcentral.